AACGAACGCUGGCGGCAGGCUUAACACAUGCAAGUCGAACGCAUCCUUCGGGGUGAGUGGCAGACGGGUGAGUAACGCGUGGGAACGUGCCCUUCAGUUCGGGAUAGCCCAGGGAAACUUGGGCUAAUACCGGAUACGUGCGAGAGCAGAAAGAUUUAUCGCUGAAGGAUCGGCCCGCGUCUGAUUAGCUAGUUGGUGGGGUAAUGGCCCACCAAGGCGACGAUCAGUAGCUGGUCUGAGAGGAUGAUCAAGCACAUUGGGACUGAGACACGGCCCAAACUCCUACGGGAGGCAGCAGUGGGGAAUAUUGGACAAUGGGCGCAAGCCUGAUCCAGCCAUGCCGCGUGAGUGAUGAAGGCCUUAGGGUUGUAAAGCUCUUUCACCGAAGAAGAUAAUGACGGUAUCCGGAGAAGAAGCCCCGGCUAACUUCGUGCCAGCAGCCGCCGUAA
This 449-nucleotide ribosomal RNA is filed under the name uncultured bacterium. Its description in RNAcentral is "partial 16S ribosomal RNA". It matches the Rfam family "Bacterial small subunit ribosomal RNA", at positions 29 to 523 of the family's 1533-position model. The record is from RNAcentral.